GAAGACCUGUAAAAUUUUAAUAUACAUCUUAUGAAUGCAACUCAGACACUUUAAUUAAGAUAAAGCCUUC
Molecule: transfer RNA, 70 nt
Filed under: Pseudogekko sumiklab (Bicol false gecko)
Lineage: Eukaryota; Metazoa; Chordata; Lepidosauria; Squamata; Gekkonidae
Description: tRNA-Ala
Source: RNAcentral